RNAcentral lists this ribosomal RNA (468 nucleotides) under uncultured bacterium. RNAcentral's name for it is "partial 16S ribosomal RNA". It matches the Rfam family "Bacterial small subunit ribosomal RNA", at positions 28 to 507 of the family's 1533-position model. The record is from RNAcentral.
GACGAACGCUGGCGGCGUGCUUAACACAUGCAAGUCGAACGGAAAGGCCCUGCUUUUGUGGGGUGCUCGAGUGGCGAACGGGUGAGUAACACGUGAGUAACCUGCCCUUGACUUUGGGAUAGCUUCAGGAAACUGGGGCUAAUACCGGAUAGGAGCUCCUGCUGCAUGGUGGGGGUUGGAAAGUUUCGGCGGUUGGGGAUGGACUCGCGGCUUAUCAGCUUGUUGGUGGGGUAGUGGCUUACCAAGGCUUUGACGGGUAGCCGGCCUGAGAGGGUGACCGGCCACAUUGGGACUGAGAUACGGCCCAGACUCCUACGGGAGGCAGCAGUGGGGAAUAUUGCACAAUGGGCGGAAGCCUGAUGCAGCAACGCCGCGUGCGGGAUGACGGCCUUCGGGUUGUAAACCGCUUUCGCUUGUGACGAAGCGUGAGUGACGGUAAUGGGUAAAGAAGCACCGGCUAACUACGUG